CCUGCGGAAGGAUCAUUACCGAGUGCGGGUCCUUUGGGCCCAACCUCCCAUCCGUGUCUAUUGUACCCUGUUGCUUCGGCGGGCCCGCCGCUUGUCGGCCGCCGGGGGGGCGCCUCUGCCCCCCGGGCCCGUGCCCGCCGGAGACCCCAACACGAACACUGUCUGAAAGCGUGCAGUCUGAGUUGAUUGAAUGCAAUCAGUUAAAACUUUCAACAAUGGAUCUCUUGGUUCCGGCAUCGAUGAAGAACGCAGCGAAAUGCGAUAACUAAUGUGAAUUGCAGAAUUCAGUGAAUCAUCGAGUCUUUGAACGCACAUUGCGCCCCCUGGUAUUCCGGGGGGCAUGCCUGUCCGAGCGUCAUUGCUGCCCUCAAGCCCGGCUUGUGUGUUGGGUCGCCGUCCCCCUCUCCGGGGGGACGGGCCCGAAAGGCAGCGGCGGCACCGCGUCCGAUCCUCGAGCGUAUGGGGCUUUGUCACAUGCUCUGUAGGAUUGGCCGGCGCCUGCCGACGUUUUCCAACCAUUCUUUCCAGGUUGACCUCGGAUCAGGUAGGUGAUACCCGCUGAACUUAAGCAUAUCAAUAAGGCGGAGGAA
This 590-nucleotide ribosomal RNA is filed under the name Aspergillus awamori. RNAcentral's name for it is "eukaryotic LSU rRNA". The stretch from base 205 to 358 matches the Rfam family "5.8S ribosomal RNA". Lineage: Eukaryota; Fungi; Ascomycota; Eurotiomycetes; Eurotiales; Aspergillaceae. The record is from RNAcentral.